Molecule: ribosomal RNA, 421 nt
Filed under: uncultured Peptoniphilus sp.
Lineage: Bacteria; Bacillati; Bacillota; Tissierellia; Tissierellales; Peptoniphilaceae
Description: bacterial SSU rRNA
Rfam family: Bacterial small subunit ribosomal RNA
Source: RNAcentral
AGCGAUGAAACUUUAACAGAACCCUUCGGGGCGAAGAUAAAGUGGAUUAGCGGCGGACGGGUGAGUAACACGUGAGUAACCUGCCUUAGACAUUGGGAUAGCCUCGGGAAACCGGGAUUAAUACCAAAUAAAAUCAUAAUGACACAUGUCAUAACGAUCAAAACUCCGGUGGUCUAAGAUGGACUCGCGUCCCAUUAGCUAGUUGGUAGAGUAAAAGCCUACCAAGGCGACGAUGGGUAGCCGGCCUGAGAGGGUGAACGGCCACAUUGGAACUGAGAAACGGUCCAAACUCCUACGGGAGGCAGCAGUGGGGAAUACUGCACAAUGGAGGGAACUCUGAUGCAGCGACGCCGCGUGAACGAAGAAGGCUUUCGAGUCGUAAAGUUCUUUUAUAGGGAAGAUAAGACGGUACCAUAAGAAA